AGGGGCUUAGGCUUAAGCAAACCAGAGGCCUUCAAAGCCUCAAUUGGGGGUGGAACCCCCUCAGCCCCUG
Molecule: transfer RNA, 70 nt
Filed under: Psettina iijimae
Lineage: Eukaryota; Metazoa; Chordata; Actinopteri; Pleuronectiformes; Bothidae
Description: tRNA-Trp
Rfam family: tRNA
About the family: Transfer RNA (tRNA) molecules are approximately 80 nucleotides in length.
Source: RNAcentral